RNAcentral lists this ribosomal RNA (433 nucleotides) under uncultured bacterium. Its description in RNAcentral is "partial 16S ribosomal RNA". It matches the Rfam family "Bacterial small subunit ribosomal RNA", at positions 29 to 507 of the family's 1533-position model. The record is from RNAcentral.
AACGAACGCUGGCGGCAUGCCUAACACAUGCAAGUCGAACGAGACCUUCGGGUCUAGUGGCGCACGGGUGCGUAACGCGUGGGAACCUGCCCUUAGGUUCGGAAUAACUCCCCGAAAGGGGUGCUAAUACCGGAUAAUGUCUUCGGACCAAAGAUUUAUCGCCUUUGGAUGGGCCCGCGUUGGAUUAGCUAGUUGGUAGGGUAAAGGCCUACCAAGGCGACGAUCCAUAGCUGGUCUGAGAGGAUGAUCAGCCACACUGGGACUGAGACACGGCCCAGACUCCUACGGGAGGCAGCAGUGGGGAAUAUUGGACAAUGGGCGAAAGCCUGAUCCAGCAAUGCCGCGUGAGUGAUGAAGGCCUUAGGGUUGUAAAGCUCUUUUACCCGGGAUGAUAAUGACAGUACCGGGAGAAUGAGCUCCGGCUAACUCCGUG